This 260-nucleotide ribosomal RNA is filed under the name uncultured Staphylococcus sp. Its description in RNAcentral is "partial 16S ribosomal RNA". It matches the Rfam family "Bacterial small subunit ribosomal RNA", at positions 543 to 802 of the family's 1533-position model. Lineage: Bacteria; Bacillati; Bacillota; Bacilli; Caryophanales; Staphylococcaceae. The record is from RNAcentral.
AUCCGGAAUUAUUGGGCGUAAAGCGCGCGUAGGCGGUUUUUUAAGUCUGAUGUGAAAGCCCACGGCUCAACCGUGGAGGGUCAUUGGAAACUGGAAAACUUGAGUGCAGAAGAGGAAAGUGGAAUUCCAUGUGUAGCGGUGAAAUGCGCAGAGAUAUGGAGGAACACCAGUGGCGAAGGCGACUUUCUGGUCUGUAACUGACGCUGAUGUGCGAAAGCGUGGGGAUCAAACAGGAUUAGAUACCCUGGUAGUCAACGGCG